Heterocephalus glaber (naked mole-rat) is the source of this 2699-nucleotide long non-coding RNA. NCBI's taxonomy places the organism in Eukaryota, Metazoa, Chordata, Mammalia, Rodentia, Bathyergidae. The record is from Ensembl.
GAGCCAUUUUAGAAUGUAGGACCGUUGGUUCCAUUUUGUCUGGUAGAGAACUCUAUCAGUUGGAAACUCUGUGUAACAUGGAGCAGAACUCUUUGGAUCAUCACAGACAUGGCAUACAAGGCUUGCUGCCUGGACUGAGUGAGGAACGGGAGGUGCUCUUCAGAGACUGCCUUGAAAAGUCUUGGGGAAGAGACAGACUCCAUCCCAAUACAUUCAUCUCGGCUAUAUAUUUUUGAAGACAACUUGUUUUAAUUAUUUACAGUUCUGAAGAUCGAACUCGGGACCUUGUGCUUGCAAGGCAGGAAAUGGCAUUACUCAGCUAAAUCUCCGCCCCAAUGAUGCUUUUCUUAAAAUGAGAACAAAUCCAAAUCUCAAGGUCUUAUCUUGUACUGAGACCAGUUUUUACAUUUCAAUGACCUAAGGACCUGGAAUGUUAAUGAUCUUACUGAACUGCUCCUGAAGAAUCCCCAUCAAUGGACCUGACUUCAGUUGGAUUGAUAGAUUACUUCUCACCACUCAGAAAGUUCACAGUAAAUCCACUUCAGAGAGGAAGGCUGGGGAAAACCCACCGAUGGGCCUCGAAAGCUGAGCGAUUCCUGAUAUGACGCACCGAGCUGCAGCAGUGCCACAAGAGCAUAACUGAAUCGCAUCCUGAGGAAACACCAGUCAAACUGAACUUAGGAACAUUCAGCGACGGUCCCGAGCCCUUCAAAGAUCUCCGUGUCACAAAACGCAGAGUCCCGGGAUCUGUUCCUAAUUAAAAGAUACUAACAAAACAGAACAACUGGCAGGAUUUUCUCUUGCUACGAGGACAUUUUGGGACAAACAACUGGGAAAUCUGAGCAAAAUGUGUAGAGUAUUUUAUGGCUGUUAAUUUCCUGAUUUCAGUGAUUGGACUGGGACGAGGCAAGAGAUUUCUUCAUGUUAGGAGACACACGCAGAAGGAGUUAGUGUAAAGGUGCAUCUGAUCCUCAUUGGACAAAUGGCUCAGACAAAAAAAAAAAAAUCUGGGAAGUGCCAAAUAAGGACUUCCUGUGUUUCCUUAUUUAUCUGCCGCUCAGUGGGCUUUGUGCAAAGGAUGGGUGGGAGUGAGGAGCAGCCUCCACACAGCUGUUCAGGGAUGUCUGCAAAAGCAGCCCACCCACAUUGCUUUUGGACACUGGGUGUGAUUUGGAGGGUAUCAGGUUUGUCUGUGAGGGAAACUGCCAGCCUCCUCCCUGGCCAAUUGGUUUCUGUGUUUCCUUGCUGGCCCUCUGAAUAGAAAAGUCCUUUUCCUCAGGAUAUCCCCCAGAAGCAUCUUUUUCUUCACAGUGGAAUCUAAGACAUUAGUUUAACUACAGUUUUCUCUUUGAUGAAUUCUAGGACCUGCAAAAAUGUAGAGGUUAAAUCUGAUGAACCACAUGGCUAAGCUUGCGAUGUAUUUGCUUUUUCAUUGAAUUAAAACAAAAAAUUGGUUGCUUUCCAGUACGCUUAAUUUCCAGACCCAGCUUUCUUCCUAUUUGUCAGGCUGUAGGAAAUAUUAUACUUACCGAACACAAAGUUGGAAGAAUUAGUUGGAUCCCCCCACCCCCCGCCCACUCACACACCAAAGCCAAGCUUUGGUUUCCUCUUCUAUAAAGAAGAGAUUGGUAGAACUAAGGUUAUGGACAGAAAAGUACUACAUAACUAAAAAUUAUCAAGCUUUUCAGUUCCUUCAAUUUUGGAGACAUUUGUAUAUUGAUUCUACCAAGUUGUAUGCUAGAAGGUUCUCUCCUAAUUCUCCUAUUUAAAAAAAGUGGUACAGGUCAGGAUGACCUGCUGAGGGCAGAGCCUGAGGUUCAGCCACCUGACACAAAGGAAUUCGGCUUCUCUGACAAUGCAGUGCUCACACACACACAGCCUGGCAGAGCUCUAGGGAACACGCAAGAUCAAAUGAUUCAAGACUUGCAUGGCAACAUCUGUGGUUCCCCAUUGCCCAUCACCUACCACUUUUUUCUUGGCUAACAGAACCUCUAUUUUCAUUUGAAAGCUCUUUCUGCAGUCAAGGUGAAGGUAUCAGUCAAGGUGUUCGGGCUCUUCCUGACCCAACAUGGCAUCUCUCCUAUGGGAAUUUGAAUCUUAAACUCAGUGACUCAAGUAUAAACAAUCUGUGGGAACUGAGUUAUUCUCACUGGCACUGUGAACUAAAUCUGUGUUCAUUACUAUUAAUGAGGUCUCUACAACUAUCCUGGUUCUGGCCCUUUAUAAUACCUAAUUAUCAAUGUUUUCUUACACUCUGAAUUUUCAUGUUUCUUUUUACCUGUUUUCACAGUGUUGGUUUUAGCUAAGCAAAGUUAGUUUCUAUUGCUUACACAGAAAAAGUUCUAACUGAUACAUCUUUGCUCUUUAAAAAUAAAGAAUCUAAUUUUCAAAGAGAGUAGACUACUUGAUUAGGGUCUGAAAGUAAAUUAGGACCAGAACCCAGGCAAACACAGAUUAGCCAACUUCUUUCCACUAGGAACAUAACCUAUCUCCUUUAGAGUUAUAGUAUUCUUGCAAGGAAGGAUCUACUACAUUUCUAGAUAACUCAAAUGGACCAAGAGCAAGUUCAGGGCUGUAUUAUCACUGAGCUUUUAAAAAGCCUACUGGACUCUAGUUAUAGCCAUAAUUGAGUAUGUAAGACUAUAAUUUGUUCUUCAUUGUCCAAAAAAAGAACACUAGUCAUUAUAUGCAAAUUAUAC